Molecule: ribosomal RNA, 655 nt
Filed under: uncultured bacterium
Lineage: Bacteria
Description: bacterial SSU rRNA
Rfam family: Bacterial small subunit ribosomal RNA
Source: RNAcentral
AACACUUAGAAAUAGGUGCUAAUACCGCAUAAGCGCACGGUUCCGCAUGGAACAGUGUGAAAAACUCCGGUGGUAUACGAUGGAUCCGCGUCUGAUUAGCCAGUUGGCGGGGUAACGGCCCACCAAAGCGACGAUCAGUAGCCGGCCUGAGAGGGUGAACGGCCACAUUGGGACUGAGACACGGCCCAAACUCCUACGGGAGGCAGCAGUGGGGAAUAUUGCACAAUGGGGGAAACCCUGAUGCAGCGACGCCGCGUGAGUGAAGAAGUAUUUCGGUACGUAAAGCUCUAUCAGCAGGGAAGAAAAAAAGUCCUUUGGACUUUGGACGGUACCUGACUAAGAAGCCCCGGCUAACUACGUGCCAGCAGCCGCGGUAAUACGUAGGGGGCAAGCGUUAUCCGGAUUUACUGGGUGUAAAGGGAGCGUAGACGGCAGCGCAAGUCUGGAGUGAAAUGCCGGGGCCCAACCCCGGAACUGCUUUGGAAACUGUGCAGCUGGAGUGCAGGAGAGGUAAGCGGAAUUCCUAGUGUAGCGGUGAAAUGCGUAGAUAUUAGGAGGAACACCAGUGGCGAAGGCGGCUUACUGGACUGUAACUGACGUUGAGGCUCGAAAGCGUGGGGAGCAAACAGGAUUAGAUACCCUGGUAGUCCACGCC